CCUACGGGUGGCAGCAGUGGGGAAUCUUGGGCAAUGGGCGCAAGCCUGACCCAGCAACGCCGCGUGAAGGAAGAAGGCUUUCGGGUUGUAAACUUCUUUUCUCAGUGACGACGCAAUUGACGGUACCUGAGGAAUAAGCCACGGCUAACUACGUGCCAGCAGCCGCGGUAAUACGUAGGUGGCAAGCGUUAUCCGGAUUUACUGGGUGUAAAGGGCGUGUAGGCGGGACUGCAAGUCAGAUGUGAAAACCACGGGCUCAACCUGUGUCGUGCAUUUGAAAAUGUAGUUCUUUAGUACUGGAGAGGCAGACGGAAUUCCUAGUGGAGCGGUGAAAUGCGUAGAUAUUAGGAGGAACACCAGUGGCGAAGGCGGUCUGCUGGACAGCAACUGACGCUGAGGCGCGAAAGCGUGGGGAGCAAACAGGAUUAGAUACCCGGGUAGUC
Molecule: ribosomal RNA, 443 nt
Filed under: uncultured bacterium
Lineage: Bacteria
Description: partial 16S ribosomal RNA
Rfam family: Bacterial small subunit ribosomal RNA
Source: RNAcentral